UUUUUUUUUUUCUGAUCCACAGGAGGCUAAAGCCAGGUUCAUAGUCUGGCACAUGGCAUUUUCUGGACAGUGAGAAUCAGGAAAUGGGGGUGAAUCUUAGAGUCUGAUGAAUCAUGGGAAAAUCUCUCAAUAUUGAGACAGAGAUACUGGAAGGAGGAUGACAUUUGUUUUACAACAAGAGGGAUUCUUGGUGUCAUGGCUGUCUUCUCGGAAGGGAAGAUUGGUCAGGGGCCUGAAAGUCAUAGGUGUUAAAGGGCUGACCCUGAAACAGUCCCUGCAAGGAUAGGGGUGGACCAUCAGGACCAUGAUGGGAAAGUGCUGGUGUUUAGGAUGUCACUUCCCACAAAGUGGCAAUCACUGCAGAGGCCAAGAAGCCUUCCACUGGGUUUGGGGGGUCAGUAUCUCUUCAAUUAAACUAAGGCAAAUUCUUAGCUGCCAUGAAGGCCGGGUGACUUUGGGUUCUAGUCUCAGAUGAGUCCUAGUGGGCCAGAAGCCUGCCUUGCUCUGCUUGACACAGACCAGACAUGAUGGGUAGGACUUAGUUCCACAGUGGAUGUGGGGAGUCCUGUGAGCAGGUGGGAGUGUGUCUGGAGCGCCUAGAAUCAUGGGGCCUGCAUGGUAAAGGUCCUGCAACCAAGCCAAAAUGGGGAUGCUUGUGGGGCUGGGGAUGUUUCGCCUAGAAAAGGGCACAGGAGGCUAGUGUUUUUGGAAUUGCUGUUGCUCCAGAUGACAGAACUGAGGCCAAUAGAUGGAGAUAACAGGAAGAAAAAUUGUGACUCACCAGAGAUAAAGCUAGCUGAUAUUUUAAGACAGUAAAGUCUAGUGGUUGAGAUCUUGGACUCUAGAGUAGAGUCACAAUGGGCACCACCCUGAAUCCUGCUCACAGAUGUGAGUCUGCAACCCACUUGGUGUUGGCCUGCCCUGCCCUGGGAUUUAAAAACUUUCAUCAGUCAUCAGCACAAAUUGGGAGAUUAUGCUUACAAAUCUAUAUGGAUAGCCUCUUUUUAAAAAUCUGAGGAUCUGAUCACCCAAGUUCCUACUCUCUCAAGUAACAAUAAAUGGGACGUGGGUGGCAGCUGCCUCUUCUGAAUAAAGCAAUUGCACUGUGGUUUUUCACAAGUGCUACUUCCUCCACCUUUUUUACAUUUGCACAGUUUCACUGAUUCCCAGGUGUCUGCAGGUAUUGUAGUUUGCAACCCUGUUCUAGUUAAGAACCCAGGGUUUGUAUCCUGGCUUUGCCAAUUUUAAGUUAUUGUGACCUUAAAGAAAGGAGUCAAUUUCUCUAAGCCACAGUUUCCUUAUCUGAAUAUGAGAAUAAUAAUAAUACUUACCAUGAGUUAAAGAACUCCUGGAAAAUGGCUGGCAAGGAGUGAAGCACACCAUGAGCACUCACCAACUCUUAGCUGGUGAAAUGCUGUCCAACAGUGGAGGAGGUAGCCUUGGGAGCUCUGUCGCCAAUGCUGGGCCUGCAGAGGGGCUGCAUGACCUGGCAGUAGCCAGGACUACAGAGAAGGGACAGCCACCAAGAACUCUGAAAUAAGUGGGCCAUGUAGCAGUACUCCUUGGGCCCUUCCCAAUGACCAAGUCAAAGGUGUUGGUGUAGAGCUUCUCUUGAUGCUCAUUAAAAUCAAAUUUGAGGCCAGGUGUGGUAGCUCACGCCUGUAAUCCCAGCAUUUUGGGAGACCAAGGCAGGCAGAUUGCUUGAGCCCAGGAGUUUGAGACCAGCUUAUGCAACAUGGCAAAACCCUGUCUCCACAAAAAAAAAAAAAAAAAAAAAAAAAAAACCAAAACAACAACAACAAAAAACUCCAAAAUUAGCCGGUCAUGGUGGUCCAUGCCUGUAUUCCCAGCUUCUUGGGAGGCUGAGGUGGGAGGAUUACCUGAGCCCAGGGAGGUCGAGACUGCAGUGAACCGUGAUUGCACCUCUGCACUCCAGUGUGGGCAACAGAGGGAGACCCUGUCUCAAAAAUAAGUAAAAUAAAAUAAAAAUAAAAUAAAAUUAGAUUUGAUCUGGAAAGAAAUUUUGUAGAAAAGAAUGUGUCACCUGUAGUAACCUAUAUCCACUUGGGAGGCUGCAGUGUGCUCAGAGUGAGUUGGAGUUCCAGCCCCAGCUGAUGGUGGGUGGGAGCAUUCCCCUGCCCCUUCCUGCUCUGCUGCAGGGCUCCUUGGAGCUCACUGGCAGCAUGUCCUCCCUUGGUAGCUGGAUAGGCCCUUCAGUAGGCUCUGCAGGCUGAGCAGCCAUGGGAGACAGCUAAACCCAUACCCAUACUUUGGCUCUGUGACAGAGUGGUCCAGCACUUCAGGACCUGCCUGGGUCCUGGGUCUGCCCCUGGGUGGGGCCUGGGUGGUAUGGGUUCCCUUCGGGUAGUCUGGACUCAGCCUGAUGAGACAGCCUUUGGGGCUGGUUUCCACUGGCCCCUGAGAAGCCCUCUGCUGGAGCGGCAUGGAGUGACUGAGAGAGUCAGUUCUGUGUCUUAAGCCGUCAUGUAUUUUCUGGUUCUGGAAGCAGAAUCUGCUUUAUGUGCUUGAGAUGCUGAGCCAAGGGCAGACACAUCCUUAUUCUCAGAGAGCCACUACAGGAGAGGAAGCAGGGGUCUACUGGCCGUGAGCACAGCAGUACAUGCCGCAUGUCUGCCAGAUAGGCUGGGAAAAAGCUUGGGGGAGAGGGAGGGCUCACCAGGCCUGGAGGCUGCAGGAAGCCAGCCUCCUGGCCUCUGAGGAUGGUGCUAUGACACCAGUGCUGAGGACUGGUGGGUGCAGUGGGGUGAGUUGAAUGAGCUGGGAAUUCAUGCUCUGAAUCUAUUUCCCCUGCUGCUUCUCCACUCCUCUAUUCUCCCUCCCCUCUCCUCUUCGGUAUUCUCUGUAGCCUUGAUACUUAAAAUAUCAUCACAGCCAGUGAGCAGCUGUCAAUGACCGGUCGGUCCCCUUGCCUCAGCACUAGGUGGUGCUUGUAUCUCCCUUCUGGCUGGCUGAGGAAGCUGGGCAGCAGGAGGCAGAUGCUGGUCCAGAGCCCCUCUUCUUGCAGAAUCAUUAGGCAAAGCUCCCGGCAGCCUGACUUAUGCAGAUGUCAGAGCUCAGGCUUUGUUUCUUGUGCUUGAGCUAAUUGGCAUCUUUGGAGAAGGUUUUCAGCCUCUGGCCUGUGGGCACCUGUCCCUGAGGGGUGGCCCAUCAUUCAGCCUUGGUCUUUGCAUUAGGCCUGUAUAGCUACCGAGUUUUCACCCCCAGCCAUGUCUGAUGGCCUUUGGCUGGAAUCUGGGAUGGUAGAAAGCUGUUGAGACAGUUGAGUCUAAAUUAAAUAUUAGAUCUGGGUGGGUUUCAUGUAUUCCAUAGCAUAAGUUUGUUGGGAUAUUUAUUUGCUCUUCUCCUGGUUCUCGCAAUUUAAUAAUUGAGUAAAAUCCGUUUUGACAUUCAGCACUGAUUUGCUUACAUUCUGCUGAAGUGCACCUGCUCUGUGAGAGAGUGGGUGUUUGUCAGGAGGCUGGGAGAAGUGGGGGCAGACAACAGAAGCUUCAAAUGAGAGACAUGGCUUGGGCACUGACUUUAUAUGUGAAAAUGUGAUUCAGCCUUAAACUUGUGGGUCGCUUGCUAGAUGACAAGCGCUAGAUCAGACUCCAGUGGGAGAGUAAAAUCAUGGAAGAUGCUGUCUUCUUUCAGGAAGCUUGUGUUGGGGAAACAACAGCAAACACAACAACACCAGCUAAAGAGCAGAGUGCAAAGACAGGUGGCUCUCCCCUAUUCCACUGCACAUACACUCACAAUCAGAUACACAUAUGUACACAUUUGGUCAAACCUGUGAAGACCAAACCAGGCUCUGGGUUUUGGGACUGGGGUCAUCAAGACCUACAAGUAAAAUCUCCUUUUUUCAAAUCUGCAUUUCCUUGUAGCAAAGUGGUGGGAGCACAGGCCCUAGAGCCAGAAGGCCUGCCUGAGAAUCUGGCUCCCUCCAUACUAGCUGUUUAUGCUUAGACAUGCCACUUAAACUGUCUGUGCUUCAGUUUCCUCAUCUGUAAAAUGGGAAUUUCAGUGUCUAUUUCACAAGUUUGCUGAGAGGUUUAAAGAAGUUAAAACAUGUAUGUGCUUCAGAGUCUGGCACAUGGGCAGUGCUCAGUAGCUAUGACUAUUGUUCCAAAGAUCUGACCACUUUUCACUGCUUGCAGAAGUAAACGGUAGACGUUCAGACCAUAAGGGAAAAACAGAGGCCCAUUUUUAAGAUGAGAAAGUGGGACAAAUAAUAGAAUAUCUGCCUGGUUUCAGGAGAGGAGAGGGUCCUGGAAACUUAGUGCUUCUUACACAGCCCCAACUGAAUUCAAUUCAUCAAAAGUAUAAUGAGGAUCUGCUGUGCACAAGAUAUGUAAGUGUUGUGGGGAAACAGGUGCUUCAAGUAUGGAGCCCAUCCUCUACCUCAGGAGGUGGAACAGACAGAUAAAAACAAAGAGUAGAACAUGACAAAUAUCACAAACACUCAGGAAGACCCUAAGUUGUGAGAAGGGAGGAAAGCCCUCUUGAGUUUUGGAGAGGAAGGUAUCAGGGACAGCAUACAUCAGAACAGGAAGGCAGAAAACUUGGCAUAUAUCUGAGAACAGGACAGAGUCUAUUUUGGUUGGAGCAAGCUUGGGUGAGAAAGGGUGUUGGGCUAUCAAUGGAAAGUGUGGGAUGCAAAGGCAGGGUGAGUUGGCACUUCAUCGACAGAUAAUGGAAGGUCACUGAAGGCUUUCUGAGCAGGAGUAGAAUCUUUUUAUAUUUUAAAAUUAGUAGACUAUAAUAAGUGAGGAAGAUGGAGGGAUGAAAGAUGACAACUUUUGUUCAUUUGUUUGUUUGUUUUGCCUGGGUGACUAUCUGAAUGAUGGUAUCUGCUAGAGACAGGGAAGUCAGAAGAAAGGGCCAAAUCACUGGAGAAAGAAAAUGCUUUGCUUGGACAUUCUGGAUGGGAAGUUCCAGUGAGUCAUCCUGGUGGCAAUGACUGGCAGAUUGUUGGAAAUGGAGGAGCUAAAGUGAGAGAGGCUAAGAAUAGAGAUAUGGAUUUGGGAGUUAGUGGCAAAUAGAGUUAAACUACAGGAAUGUAUAUGAUGGCCUGAGAAGAAAUUAUAGGAGAAGUAAGAAGGACUAAGGGCUGAGCCUGGGAGACAGGACAUGGAGGGGAAAUGCAGCUGAGAGGAGCCUUGAAGAAGACUGAAGAGGAAUAAUUGCUACUGAGGAGAAGCAAGGCAGUUCAGUGUGAUGGAUGCCAAAAGAUGGAGAAGUCAAAGAGGAAUUAGUACUGAAAUUAAUAUUAAUCAAUGGCAAGGAAGACCAGAGCAGAGGAUAGUCCUGUGACAAAUGGUCACAAGCUUCUCCCAGCUGUGAAAUAUCUUUCCUUCGUGGUCCCCUGCUGGAGAGUUCAUGUCUCCACUGCCUUCCUCAACCUCUGCAUGUGGAGUCUGCACUUGACAAGAUCAAUGCAGCAUUACUGCCUGCUGAGUUUCCUGGAUUUGCUGAGCUAAACAAGUUCAUUCGCACCCAGUUCCACCUGCGAUGAAGAUCCAUCUACAGGGCUGGAACUGACAGGGAAAACUUUUCAUCCCAUCUGAGGUCACCUUCACUUACAGGAUGCUGGCUGCUGAUAAGUAUCCUAUCAGGAGAAGAAAAGAAAAAUAAUUUGACACUUAUAGCCUGUCUUGAAAGAUGAGAUUCACUUAUCAGCAAACCAGAUGAAGAGAAUCACUGAGCACAGAAAUGAGAUCUGAGUACACUAGAACUCAACUAAUGUAUCCCUGCCCAUACAGGGUUAGUCUCUACAAAUUGCCUAUUUCAGUUAUUUAGCCCCAUUUUUUCCCAGAGAUGGUGUGUUUCACAUAAUCAAUAGCUACAAAAUAAAAGCAGCAUCUGCCUUGCCUUCUUUUCCCGUUAUUUGGCUGUGGCCUCCUAACAAUGUGACAAACAGAAGAAGAGAGAAGUAAACAAGAAAUCAAAGAGAUCUAGGGGAGAUGGCUAACGUGGGGGUGAGGAGAGAAGCAAAUACCGGUUUCACAACAGGUUGAAUCAUUGCCAAGGAACCCAGAUUGACAAAUAUGAUAUACUGUUGAGAUUCUCAGUGGCAACUGUUGCCAGUUUUGCAAAAGAGCAGUGUUAUUGGAGCCGGAUUUGGAAAGCAGAUUUUGUGAAAAGUCUAGGAUUCUGCUGUCUCCCAGGACUUGGUUCUAAUUUUGUCUUUGGGCUGUCCUCAAUGCUCCCACCUCUCACGCAUGUGUUCUAUUUGGGGGCUUAUUGUGGAGGAAGCCAGCUAAUGCUACAUCCAGAAAGAGAGAGGGAGAAAAAAAGUCCAAAUAUAUAUUUUUCUUUAU
Long non-coding RNA from Pongo pygmaeus (Bornean orangutan), 6320 nucleotides. RefSeq lists it as uncharacterized. NCBI's taxonomy places the organism in Eukaryota, Metazoa, Chordata, Mammalia, Primates, Hominidae. The record is from RefSeq and is a predicted model, not a curated record. The transcript is spliced from 4 exons.